This 797-nucleotide ribosomal RNA is filed under the name Escherichia coli. RNAcentral describes it as "partial 23S ribosomal RNA". It matches the Rfam family "Bacterial large subunit ribosomal RNA", at positions 2125 to 2915 of the family's 2925-position model. The record is from RNAcentral. Lineage: Bacteria; Pseudomonadati; Pseudomonadota; Gammaproteobacteria; Enterobacterales; Enterobacteriaceae.
UGAGCCUUGAUGUGUAGGAUAGGUGGGAGGCUUUGAAGUGUGGACGCCAGUCUGCAUGGAGCCGACCUUGAAAUACCACCCUUUAAUGUUUGAUGUUCUAACGUGGACCCGUAAUCCGGGUUGCGGACAGUGUCUGGUGGGUAGUUUGACUGGGGCGGUCUCCUCCUAAAGAGUAACGGAGGAGCACGAAGGUUGGCUAAUCCUGGUCGGACAUCAGGAGGUUAGUGCAAUGGCAUAAGCCAGCUUGACUGCGAGCGUGACGGCGCGAGCAGGUGCGAAAGCAGGUCAUAGUGAUCCGGUGGUUCUGAAUGGAAGGGCCAUCGCUCAACGGAUAAAAGGUACUCCGGGGAUAACAGGCUGAUACCGCCCAAGAGUUCAUAUCGACGGCGGUGUUUGGCACCUCGAUGUCGGCUCAUCACAUCCUGGGGCUGAAGUAGGUCCCAAGGGUAUGGCUGUUCGCCAUUUAAAGUGGUACGCGAGCUGGGUUUAGAACGUCGUGAGACAGUUCGGUCCCUAUCUGCCGUGGGCGCUGGAGAACUGAGGGGGGCUGCUCCUAGUACGAGAGGACCGGAGUGGACGCAUCACUGGUGUUCGGGUUGUCAUGCCAAUGGCACUGCCCGGUAGCUAAAUGCGGAAGAGAUAAGUGCUGAAAGCAUCUAAGCACGAAACUUGCCCCGAGAUGAGUUCUCCCUGACUCCUUGAGAGUCCUGAAGGAACGUUGAAGACGACGACGUUGAUAGGCCGGGUGUGUAAGCGCAGCGAUGCGUUGAGCUAACCGGUACUAAUGAACCGUGAGG